Molecule: ribosomal RNA, 653 nt
Filed under: Escherichia coli
Lineage: Bacteria; Pseudomonadati; Pseudomonadota; Gammaproteobacteria; Enterobacterales; Enterobacteriaceae
Description: partial 23S ribosomal RNA
Rfam family: Bacterial large subunit ribosomal RNA
Source: RNAcentral
CUUCGGCGUGUGACUGCGUACCUUUUGUAUAAUGGGUCAGCGACUUAUAUUCUGUAGCAAGGUUAACCGAAUAGGGGAGCCGAAGGGAAACCGAGUCUUAACUGGGCGUUAAGUUGCAGGGUAUAGACCCGAAACCCGGUGAUCUAGCCAUGGGCAGGUUGAAGGUUGGGUAACACUAACUGGAGGACCGAACCGACUAAUGUUGAAAAAUUAGCGGAUGACUUGUGGCUGGGGGUGAAAGGCCAAUCAAACCGGGAGAUAGCUGGUUCUCCCCGAAAGCUAUUUAGGUAGCGCCUCGUGAAUUCAUCUCCGGGGGUAGAGCACUGUUUCGGCAAGGGGGUCAUCCCGACUUACCAACCCGAUGCAAACUGCGAAUACCGGAGAAUGUUAUCACGGGAGACACACGGCGGGUGCUAACGUCCGUCGUGAAGAGGGAAACAACCCAGACCGCCAGCUAAGGUCCCAAAGUCAUGGUUAAGUGGGAAACGAUGUGGGAAGGCCCAGACAGCCAGGAUGUUGGCUUAGAAGCAGCCAUCAUUUAAAGAAAGCGUAAUAGCUCACUGGUCGAGUCGGCCUGCGCGGAAGAUGUAACGGGGCUAAACCAUGCACCGAAGCUGCGGCAGCGACACUAUGUGUUGUUGGGUAGGGGAGCG